Molecule: ribosomal RNA, 464 nt
Filed under: uncultured bacterium
Lineage: Bacteria
Description: partial 16S ribosomal RNA
Rfam family: Bacterial small subunit ribosomal RNA
Source: RNAcentral
GACGAACGCUGGCGGCGUGCUUAACACAUGCAAGUCGAACGGAAAGGCCCUGCUUGCAGGGUACUCGAGUGGCGAACGGGUGAGUAACACGUGGGUGAUCUGCCCUGCACUUCGGGAUAAGCCUGGGAAACUGGGUCUAAUACCGGAUAUGACCUUCCAUGUAGUGUGGGGGGUGGAAAGAUUUAUCGGUGUGGGAUGAGCCCGCGGCCUAUCAGCUUGUUGGUGGGGUAAUGGCCUACCAAGGCGUCGACGGGUAGCCGGCCUGAGAGGGUGGACGGCCACAUUGGGACUGAGAUACGGCCCAGACUCCUACGGGAGGCAGCAGUGGGGAAUAUUGCACAAUGGGCGGAAGCCUUAUGCAGCGACGCCGCGUGGGGGAUGACGGCCUGGGGUUGUAAACCUCUUUCGACAGGGACGAAGCUUCGGUGACGGUACCUGUAUAAGAAGCACCGGCUAACUACGUG